GUGCUUGCUUUGGCAGCACAUAUAAUACAAUUGGAACUAUACAGAGAAGAUUAGCAUGGCCCCUGAGCAAGUAUGACAUGCAAAUUCAUAGUUCCAUAUUAAAAAAUA
This is a small nuclear RNA of Suncus etruscus (white-toothed pygmy shrew), 108 nucleotides long. The record is from RefSeq and is a predicted model, not a curated record. NCBI's taxonomy places the organism in Eukaryota, Metazoa, Chordata, Mammalia, Eulipotyphla, Soricidae.